GCCGAGAGUAGAAGCGUUCAGUUGGCCAUCCUGCCGUGGGUGGUGCCAGCGGGUCAUUGCUCUUGAA
RNAcentral lists this non-coding RNA (67 nucleotides) under Lampropedia cohaerens. Its description in RNAcentral is "Xanthine riboswitch aptamer (NMT1 RNA)". It matches the Rfam family "Xanthine riboswitch aptamer (NMT1 RNA)". Rfam says of the family: Later it was reported as a ncRNA that recognised Xanthine. Lineage: Bacteria; Pseudomonadati; Pseudomonadota; Betaproteobacteria; Burkholderiales; Comamonadaceae. The record is from Rfam by way of RNAcentral. RNAcentral also lists the same sequence under 1 other name.